GGAAAGAUGGCUGAGCGGCCUAUAGCGUUUGUCUUGAAAACUAUAGCCACUAAUGUGGCCCGUGGGUUCGAAUCCCGCUCUUUCUA
This 86-nucleotide transfer RNA is filed under the name Amphimedon compressa (erect rope sponge). Its description in RNAcentral is "tRNA-Ser". It matches the Rfam family "tRNA". From Rfam's summary of the family: Transfer RNA (tRNA) molecules are approximately 80 nucleotides in length. Their secondary structure includes four short double-helical elements and three loops (D, anti-codon, and T loops). Further hydrogen bonds mediate the characteristic L-shaped molecular structure. tRNAs have two regions of fundamental functional importance: the anti-codon, which is responsible for specific mRNA codon recognition, and the 3' end, to which the tRNAs corresponding amino acid is attached (by aminoacyl-tRNA synthetases). tRNAs cope with the degeneracy of the genetic code in two manners: having more than one tRNA (with a specific anti-codon) for a particular amino acid; and 'wobble' base-pairing, i.e. permitting non-standard base-pairing at the 3rd anti-codon position. The record is from RNAcentral. Lineage: Eukaryota; Metazoa; Porifera; Demospongiae; Haplosclerida; Niphatidae.